This is a long non-coding RNA of Saccostrea cuccullata (small rock oyster), 1687 nucleotides long. RefSeq lists it as uncharacterized. The record is from RefSeq and is a predicted model, not a curated record. The transcript is spliced from 3 exons. Lineage: Eukaryota; Metazoa; Mollusca; Bivalvia; Ostreida; Ostreidae.
AGGCGGAUCCAAAUUUUAAUCUUGUACACAUACUUUUAAACACGAAUUAAACAUUGAAUCUAUGGCACAAGCAUUUUAAAAAAGAUGAAGAACUUACAUUUAGCUAGUCAUCGAAUCUUUUUAAAACCCAGAACUAGUCGUUGAAUGAAGUUUUUAAUUCAAGUUGUUGCGUGGACCGUGAGGCUGUAAUUUCGGUAAACUUCGGAUUGAUCUCGGUAGUUUACGGAAUAAAAUGCUUUUUCAGUUCGAGUCAAUAUCAAAGGCCACAAUUCGAAUAUUUUUAUUUCAGUUGAUAGAUAAUUAAAGAAAACAACAAGAUGAUAACAAAUGUGUUGUUUAAAUACGUUUAAAUGUACAUCUUUUAAAAUAAAACGAUGUCUCCGAGACUAUAAAAUUCAAGAUGGCGGCGCCCACGAAAAGUCCGACAGGCAAGGAACGGUUCAAGAAAAGACAUAAUUUGACGCGCACUGAGGUGCUUUAGAAGAUCGUACUUGUGAAAUAAACUUAUUUGUGAUUCCAUGCAUAUUUGUGAGGAAUGCUGUUAUGGUAUAACCCUAAUUUUAACCAGUUAGAGACUAAGAGUUCGUAAGAUGACUCGGAGGGUCAUCGAGUUUGAUGUUCAUUGCCUCAAAUUGCGUUCAAAUUGUCACAUCGGACCAUUAUUCUUUUGCAAGAGAGCAAUUAAAUGUGAGUGAAACUCUGGUUAGGUGGUUUUUGUACAUACAGUGCGGAAAUUGCUUGCAGUUGGCAUCGGUGUUCCCAAAAGCUGAGAAAAUCCAAAGGGAUGCAGAACUUCAGUGUCGAUACUCAAUACACAGAUUGUAACAGCUAUUAUCUACAGUUCAUUGUGGGAGACCCUCAAUGUGUCGUCAACAUUAAAUCUGCAAUUAAUACAUGAAAGGAUUUUAAAGGUGUUCAAUGCUGAAAAAUCAAAGUACUUCGGGUAUUUGUGCCUGCUGAUUGGUAAAGUUUCAUGAAGAGGAGUCUGGCAGAGACGAUAGCACUUUCUCAUCUAAGCUGAUCUAUAGCUAUGUCAGAAAUGAUGAAAAUAGAUUAAUUUAUGUUUUCUCCCAAAACCAGUGAUGGCAAACCUAGAGUGGCUGGAACAUCUAAAGUUCUACAAAAUAUUGCCCCAAAGUUGUGUGAAUGUUUUGCUGCCACAUAAAUUUAUCAAUUGUAUCUAAACAAGUUUGUCUGUAUUAUGGAUCCUCUACUAAGUAUAACAUAUACCUUAUGAGAUUACUGUCGGAGUCCUUAUAGUAUCUACAUUUAUAUCACAAGUACUAUUUAUUGUAUCAUUAAAAUCUUGAAAUUUAUUUUCUAGGUCAUUCUGUAUCGAAUGUUUAUCACUCUGCUUUGAUACAAUUUACUGUCACUAUCAAUUUUUAACUUCAGUAUUUCUGUUCAAAUUUUUUUUAUUCUUUUGUGUACAUUUUUAAAUUCUAGACAUAAUAAUAAAUUCACAUUUGCAGAACUUCAAACCAUUUUCAUUUAUGUAAAUCAAUUUUUUACAUUGAGUUAUGAGAUUCAUUCAUAAUUUUUGACUUGCAAAAAAGUCAUAGUCACUCUCUGUAUAUUUUUUCUGCUUGAGAAGUAUUACACUAAGUGCACAUGUAUUGACCUGUCAAUCAAAAUCACCGGACGCUGUAUGCAUUGCAAUAAAGUUGUUCGAAAUGAUUUUUAUAAA